RNAcentral lists this ribosomal RNA (406 nucleotides) under uncultured bacterium. RNAcentral's name for it is "partial 16S ribosomal RNA". It matches the Rfam family "Bacterial small subunit ribosomal RNA", at positions 30 to 526 of the family's 1533-position model. The record is from RNAcentral.
AUUGAACGCUGGCGGCAGGCCUAACACAUGCAAGUCGAACGAGUGGCGGAAGGGUGAGUAAUGUCUGGGAAACUGCCCGAUGGAGGGGGAUAAAUACUGGAAACGGUAGCUAAUACCGCAUACCAUCGGAUGUGCCCAGAUGGGAGUAGAUAUGAGGUGGGGUAACGGCUCACCUAGGCGACGAUCCCUAGCUGGUCUGAGAGGAUGACCAGCCACACUGGAACUGAGACACGGUCCAGACUCGUACGGGAGGCAGCAGUGGGGAAUAUUGCACAAUGGGCGCAAGCCGGAUGCAGCCAUGCCGCGUGUAUGAAGAAGGCCUUCGGGUUGUAAAGUACUUUCAGCGAGGAGGCGUUACUCGCAGAAGAAGCACCGGCUAACUCCGUGCCAGCAGCCGCGGUAAUAC